CCCGCUUUGCGGAGUGACGCAGGCCCUGGGCUACAGCAACCUUACCAGCCCCUCCAGCUUAGAGGUGGCAGUGGCUCUCUGCGGCUGCGAUUUCUUUCUCGGAGCGUCCUCCCCAUCCCGUUCGGCCUCUGCCUCCACCGUCGUCUCUGUAACCCGUUCCCUGUGGGAGAGUCUCUGUUGCGGUGUUCAGGGGUUUCGGUUUUCUGGCUGAACAGUGAUUAACGCGAGGGAAGGCGCUGACGGCAAGGUGGCAGGAAGAACAUUCCAACACAGACCACAACACCUAUGGACCUGGAAAACAUUGUGCUCAGUGAAAGAAGCCAGACACAGAAGGACAAUGUUGUAUGAGGUCUUAUUCUGUUGCCCAGGCUGGACUGCAGUGGUGCAAUCCUAGCUCACUGCAGCUUCGACCUCCCGUGCUCAAGUGAUUUUCCCACCUCAGCCUCCCGAGUAGCUGGGACUACAGGUGCGUGCCACCACGCCUGGCUGAUUUUUCUUGUAUUUUUUUGUAGAGAUGGGGGUAUCGCUAUGUUGCCCAGGCUGGUCUUGAACACUUGGGCUCAAGUAAUUCUCCCGCCUUGGCCUCCCAAAGUGCUGGGAUUACAGGUGUGAGCCACUGUGCCUAGUGUGAAUGCAUUUAAUGCCACUGAAUUGUACACUUAAUAAUGGUGAAAAAUAUAAAUAUUCUGUUAAAUAUUUUACCACAAUAAAAAAAUGUGUGACAGUUGUCAGAAUCAAAA
Molecule: long non-coding RNA, 740 nt
Filed under: Homo sapiens (human)
Lineage: Eukaryota; Metazoa; Chordata; Mammalia; Primates; Hominidae
Description: HSALNT0401622
Source: RNAcentral